GCCGGGGAUGGCGGGGACGGAGCCGGAGCCGCCGCUUCCCCGCCCGGCUGUGGCGGGGCCGGAGCCGAGAGGGCGCCGUUGUGCCAGAGGAGGCGGAGGGGCGAGUGUCUCCGGAUGGGCAGGAUAAAGACUCGGCCUUCCCGAGGUGUGGAAGCGCACAAAGAUCUUGGCAGCCUUUGAUAACGCGGCGCAGCGCUGGCACCUCUUGGACAUGGCAUCGGGUACCCUUUCAUUUACUCCAUUGUAUUGUGCCCACUGAAGCAGGUUCCUGAUGGGUUACUGAGGGCACAGACCUAAAACACCGUUUAAAGCAUGUAUUUUACAGGCUAUUGUUUCCUCAUUCAUUUUAACACACAGAUGUCAAGAAAAAAAAGCUAUUUUCAAUGUAGUCAAAAUAUGAUCAAAAAAUGAUGA
Long non-coding RNA from Pezoporus flaviventris, 414 nucleotides. RefSeq lists it as uncharacterized. The record is from RefSeq and is a predicted model, not a curated record. The transcript has 3 exons. NCBI's taxonomy places the organism in Eukaryota, Metazoa, Chordata, Aves, Psittaciformes, Psittacidae.